UCUCGGGUUAUAAAAACGGCAGUCAAGGUCGCCGCGUCAUUCAUUAUUUGAAUUUUGUCUCGAGAAAUUAGUUUUUUAUUACGAUCUCUGACGUGUCGAAUAAUUGGAUAUUUAAGCAUCGUAACCGUUAUCUCUAAAAUUAGUGUGAUCCUUGCAUAGCGUUCUCUCGAAUAUAACAAAUAUAUCGUGUCAGUGCUUAUCGCCCGCAAACUGGGGUUCGACGUUUGGGUCACCAAAUUGGAAGUUUUUAUCCAACGCUUUCACCCCAACGACGAGAGUGCUCUCCGCCGGGUUUUGUAUUACCCGUUCCUACCGCCUCUGAUCGAUAGCGGAAUCUUGCCACGCGAUUCCCGGGAUCACUACCUGCACGGCGAGACGCAGCAGAGUACCUGAGCCGGACUGCAUUAGAGUUUGUGUGAAUUAAGUGCUCAACCCCGCCCAUAUAUUUUUUUUUUCAUCUACCUCACCGAGUCUAAUAAAUCUUUUCAAGGCAU
Long non-coding RNA from Melitaea cinxia (Glanville fritillary), 494 nucleotides. RefSeq lists it as uncharacterized. NCBI's taxonomy places the organism in Eukaryota, Metazoa, Arthropoda, Insecta, Lepidoptera, Nymphalidae. The record is from RefSeq and is a predicted model, not a curated record. The transcript is spliced from 2 exons.